UUCUUGACUUACACAUGCAAGUUUCAGCAUUCCAGUGAGAACGCCCUUAUUGCCUUCAUAGGCUUAGGAGUUGGCAUCAGGCACAGAUUCUUGCCCAUAACGCCUAGUCUUACCACACCCUCAAGGGUAUUCAGCAGUGAUAAAGAUUGAAAAUUAGCGUCAGCUAGAUUCAGUUAUAGAAAAUUAGGGCCGGCAAAUGCUGGUGCCAGCCGCCGCGGAUAUACCAAGAUGGCCCAAGUUGAUUACUUAGCGGCGUUAAGCGUGGUUAGAGUUUUUAAAAUAGUAGAAUAAAACCAAUACGUGGCCGUGACAAGCCGCUAUAAGGGAAAAUCAGAGACGAAAGUAAUUCUAUUUAUGCUUGAACACACGACUACUAGGGAACAAACUGGGAUUAGGGACCCCAUUAUGCCUAGUCGUAAAAUAUUAAUUUACACUAAUAAACGCCAGGGAAUUACGAGCUUAGCUUAAAACCCAAAAGACUUGACGGUGUCCAACCCCACUAAAGGAGCCUGUCCUAAAAUCGAUACUCCCCGCUCGACCUCACCAUUUUUUGCUUUGUCAGUUAGUAUACUUCCGUCGCCAGUUUACCACAUGAAUGAACCGUAGUGGGCUUAAUGACAUCUAGUCAGAACGUCAGGUCAAGGUGCAGCUGAAAAAAUGGGCUGAGAUGGGCUACAAUUUCUAUAUUAGAACAUUACGAAUUACUGCAUGAAAAACAGUCAUGAAGGUGGAUCUAGUAGUAAAAAAGAGAAUAGCGUGCCUUUUUUAACACGGGCAAUGGGACGUGUACAAACCGCCCGUCACCCUCUUCAAAAUUCUCACAGUAGUUUAUAACACCAACUUUAACCUUUAGAAGAGGCAAGUCGUAACACGGUAAGUGCAUUGGAAAAUGCACUUGGAUCAUCAAAAUGUAGCUUAAAUAAAGCCUCUCGCUUACACCAAGAAGAUGUCUGCUAAUCCAGAUCAUUUUGAGCUAAAAAUCUAGCCUAUAAAUUUUUUAUACCUUCCAUCUUCUUAAUCAAAAUAAAUCAUUUUAUUAUUUUAGUAAAGGCGAUUAAAAAAAUUCUUAGAGCCUCAACUUUAGUACCGCAAGGGAAAGAUGAAAUAUUAAUGAAACACUCAAGCACAAAACAGUAGAGUUUAAAGCUCGUACCUUUUGCAUCAUGGUCUAGCAAGUCCUUAUCAAGCACAAAGACAUUUUAGUUUGACUUCCCGAAACUAGGCGAGCUACUUCAAAACAGCCUUUAGGGCCAACCCGUCUCUGUUGCAAAAGAGUGGGGAGAUUUUCAAGUAGAAGUGAUAAGCCAAUCGAGCCUAGCGAUAGCUGGUUAUUCAAGAAAAGAAUCUUAGUUCUGCUUUAAGCUUCCUCCUGACCCUUAACAAACUAUUAAGCUUAAAAGUUAUUCAAAUAAGGCACAGCUUAUUUGAAAAAGGUUACAACCUAAAUUUUAGGGUAAGUUUAUUUUUACCAACAAAGUUGGCCUAAAAGCAGCCAUCUUUAAGAAAGCGUUAAAGCUCCGUUAUUUACCUUAUUAAAUUCUUAACAGCAUAUCAAACCCAUCAUCAGUAUUGAAUGAUUUCAUAAAUUAUGAAAGCCACCAUGCUAGAACUAGUAACAAGAAAACGAAUUUCUCCAAAGUGUAAGCAAAAACCAAGAUGGACCAUCCAUUGGUAAUCAACGAUCUGAGUAAACUAUAGCAACCAACCAAGAAAACCCUAUAUACUACCCCGUUAGCCUAACACAAGAACACUUAUGGAAAGAUUAAAAGGAGAAGAAGGAACUCGGCAAACUUUAGCCCCGCCUGUUUACCAAAAACAUCGCCUCUUGUUUAAGUAUAAGAGGUCCAGCCUGCCCAGUGACAAUUUAUUCAACGGCCGCGUAAUUUAAAGCGCGCAAAGGUAGCGUAAUCACUUGUUCUUUAAAUGAGGACUAGAAUCAACGGCAUCACGAGGGCUAUACUGUCUCCUUCCCCCAAUCAGUGAAACUAAUCUUCCUGUGAAAAAGCAGGAAUACUCUUAUAAGACGAGAAGACCCCAUGGAGCUUUAAACACAACAGCAUCUUUAAAAUUUUUUAUAUCUACCUUAUUAACCUGAAAGCAUUGUGUGUUAGUUUUAGGUUGGGGCGACCGCGGAGAAUAGUAAAACCUCCAUAACGAAAGGGAAUAAACCCUUACUUAAGAAAAACAUUUCUACAAAUUAUUAAUAUAACGUUUAAUGACCCGAUUAUCGAUUAACGAACCAAGUUACCCUGGGGAUAACAGCGCAAUCCAUUUUGAGAGCUCAUAUUGACAAAUGGGUUUACGACCUCGAUGUUGGAUCAGGGUAUCCCAGUGGUGCAGCCGCUACUAAAGGUUUGUUUGUUCAACAAUUAAAAC
This 2376-nucleotide non-coding RNA is filed under the name Occidozyga martensii (round-tongued floating frog). RNAcentral describes it as "partial contains tRNA-Phe, 12S ribosomal RNA, tRNA-Val, and 16S ribosomal RNA". The stretch from base 1045 to 2376 matches the Rfam family "Bacterial large subunit ribosomal RNA", at positions 1 to 2594 of the family's 2925-position model. The record is from RNAcentral. Lineage: Eukaryota; Metazoa; Chordata; Amphibia; Anura; Dicroglossidae.